GACAAUCCCGAAUGGUACUUGCCUGAAAAAGGUGUUCUUUUUUCUUCUUUUCCCACUCAUUUUCACCUACUCUUACAGUAACUCUCUAUUUUCUUUGACCAACUAUUUUCUCUCCUGCGUACUCAGAAACUUCAUCGAAUCAUCUAUGUUUUUUCACUUCCUUUUUGCAGAGGGGUAACAGUACCCUUAUGGAUACAACGUUUGAUGCUAUUAGAGAGUAUCUAAAUGAUUAUGGGGUGAUGAAUUGAUGGUUGUGUCUUUAUAACUUUAAUCGCCUAGUCUUGUGGAUCAACAAUCAACAAGUUGAGUCAACAUGUCGGGCCAAUGAGUCCGCUGAAGUGGUAGGAUGCUGGUGAGGAAGUUGACGUUAAAGAUUCAGUUGAACAGCUGACAUGGCGUUAGGGCUGAUGACGCAUAAGCAGAGAUUGACCCGUGUCACAGUACGGGAGCUCCUAAAGCAAAUGUGCAAGUAAGCAAGAGAUCAAUUCCUCCAUUUCAAACCAUGAGAUCUUCAUGUCUUUAAAUCCAUUGCUUCUUGCCCUUCUCCAAGUGGAUCAUCACAAUCACCCAGCAAAUGUGUGGGGUUUCUUGGCUGGCACAUGCUUGUACUUCUUGGCACUUGAAUUGAAGAUGAAAAUCAAUACUCGUUCGGAAAGUUACUCUCGCAUCCUUGGCCAUGUACUUCUCUUCUCGGGAGCAUUCUCUUCAUUCUCACUAUUGUCAAUCUUUCUCCAACGUUCACCUGGGUGGCUUCCUUUCAUCAUUUUUCCUUUUAUGAUAGCACGUCCCUUACUUGUGCAACUUUGCCAUUGGCUUUUGCAAGUAAUUCUGAAGGUAACUCCUCAGGUUGGUAACUUCUUUGGUAGACUCAUGAGAUCCAUCACGGUACAGCAGCAACAAUUGCCAAAUUAAUAAGAGAGUUUGUAUUAGCAUAUCUGCAUACAGGGG
Quercus robur (English oak) is the source of this 948-nucleotide long non-coding RNA. RefSeq lists it as uncharacterized. The transcript has 3 exons. The record is from RefSeq and is a predicted model, not a curated record. Lineage: Eukaryota; Viridiplantae; Streptophyta; Magnoliopsida; Fagales; Fagaceae.